Molecule: long non-coding RNA, 221 nt
Filed under: Lathyrus oleraceus (garden pea)
Lineage: Eukaryota; Viridiplantae; Streptophyta; Magnoliopsida; Fabales; Fabaceae
Description: Pisum sativum (pea) long non-coding RNA (PSAT_LNC029566)
Source: RNAcentral
AGAUACAGCAGAUGAAUGCAAGCAAGUAAGUAAAUAAAAUAUACAAAAGCAUGAACACCCACUAAACAAGAAAAUCACAAAAGCUAGGAGGGACUCGCUUAGGGAAGAUGGACCAGCAAGAGGUCAACUUCUUAAUUCCCCAGCAGAGUCGCCAGUUGUCGCAACCUGAAAAAUACAGUGUGCGAAAAAACAACCGGCGAAAGAAAAUGACAGAAGAGUCG